GAUGAACGCUGGCAGCGUGCCUAAUACAUGCAAGUCGAGCGAACAGACGAGGAGCUUGCUCCUCUGACGUUAGCGGCGGACGGGUGAGUAACACGUGGAUAACCUACCUAUAAGACUGGGAUAACUUCGGGAAACCGGAGCUAAUACCGGAUAAUAUAUUGAACCGCAUGGUUCAAUAGUGAAAGACGGUUUUGCUGUCACUUAUAGAUGGAUCCGCGCCGCAUUAGCUAGUUGGUAAGGUAACGGCUUACCAAGGCAACGAUGCGUAGCCGACCUGAGAGGGUGAUCGGCAACACUGGAACUGAGACACGGUCCAGACUCCUACGGGAGGCAGCAGUAGGGAAUCUUCCGCAAUGGGCGAAAGCCUGACGGAGCAACGCCGCGUGAGUGAUGAAGGUCUUCGGAUCGUAAAACUCUGUUAUUAGGGAAGAACAAAUGUGUAAGUAACUAUGCACGUCUUGACGGUACCUAAUCAGAAAGCCACGGCUAACUACGUG
RNAcentral lists this ribosomal RNA (497 nucleotides) under uncultured bacterium. RNAcentral's name for it is "partial 16S ribosomal RNA". It matches the Rfam family "Bacterial small subunit ribosomal RNA", at positions 28 to 507 of the family's 1533-position model. The record is from RNAcentral.